AGAGAGAGACAUGCGCGCAUAUCAAUAAGCGGAGGAAAAGAAACUAACAAGGAUUCCCCUAGUAACGGCGAGUGAAGCGGGAAGAGCUCAAAUUUGAAAUCUUCAAGGUUUUAUCUUGACGAAUUGUAGUUUAAAGAAGUGUUUUCGGUUAGAGGAGUAGUAAAAGUUCUUUGGAAUAGGACAUCAUAGAGGGUGAGAAUCCCGUAUUUGACUAUUCUUUCUAGCUUUGUGAUACACUUUCAAAGAGUCGGAUUGUUUGGGAAUGCAGUCCAAGAUGGGUGGUAAAUUUCAUCUAAAGCUAAAUAUUGGCGAGAGACCGAUAGCGAACAAGUACCGUGAGGGAAAGAUGAAAAGAACUUUGAAAAGAGAGUUAAACAGUACGUGAAAUUGUCAAAAGGGAAGCGUUUGACACCAGUGUUGUUUUUCCGAAAAUCAAUUACGAAUGUUUUAUUUUUGAGGAGUUAUGACUUCAUCGGCUUGCUCCUUUCUUUAUGGAACUUUCUUAAUGCACUUUUCGGUUAACAAGUCAACAUCAAUCUCCUUUGUUGUAAAAGAGUAUGAGGAAGGUGGCUUUCUAUUCGGAGAAAGUGUUUAUAGCCUUGUGCCUCUGCAAUCGGAGAGAUUGAGGUCUGCAGCGUAGAUCCUUCGGGGUUAGAUACGUUUGUGCUAAGUUAUAGCUUUUCAUAGACAACUUGUUGACUAUGUUUAGUCUUGUAGCUUACUCGCUGACGCUAUUUUACCUACGCUUAGGAUGUUGACAGCAGUAUAGACUGU
RNAcentral lists this ribosomal RNA (774 nucleotides) under uncultured Neocallimastigales. RNAcentral describes it as "partial large subunit ribosomal RNA". It matches the Rfam family "Eukaryotic large subunit ribosomal RNA", at positions 23 to 634 of the family's 3401-position model. The record is from RNAcentral. Lineage: Eukaryota; Fungi; Neocallimastigomycota; Neocallimastigomycetes; Neocallimastigales.